AGGCCUGCAGAGGCUUCGCAUUCAGAAAGGUUAUAGCUUUUUGCCCGCUUUUUUUUGCGAAGCCGGGCUACGGCUGCAGCAGUCCUUUUAGUACUUUUAGCCGGAAGUGAGCUCCACUGUGCACAGCGACACUCAGGCUGCAAUCCAUUGCAUGUCAACUCAGAAGUAAGCUCUAUUGGGACUUACUCCAAGCACAUCAGAAGCGCCUGGCUGCUGGAUCAGGCCAAAGGCAUCCUGUUCUCACAGUGGCCAACUUGAUGCCCAUUAUUUAUGGGAAGCCUGCAAGCAUGAACCUGAGCGCAAGACCACUCUCACCCUGGUUGUGAUUCCCAGAAACUGUUAUUCAGAGGCAAUCCUGAGGUAGAUGGGCUGAUGGCUGACAGCACAAAAUGACUGAAGCCUACCUUUCCCACAGCUGUUGAGCUUUCAGACUGCAGCUAUUUUGCAGGAGUCUCUUGAAGACCUUGAGAGCCAGUGCGGUGUAGUGGUUAAGGUGUUGGACUACGACCUGGGAGACCAGGGUUUGAAUCCCCACACAACCAUGAAGCUCACUGGGGGACCUUGGGCCAGUCCCUGCCUCUCAGCCUCAGAGGAAGGCAAUGGUAAACCCCCUCUGAAUACUACUUACCCAUGAAAACCCUAUUCAUACGGUUGCCAUAAGUCGGAAUCGACUUGAAGACAGUCCAUUUCAAUUUCUUGAAGACCUUUCUAUGUAGACAGGCAUAUGUAACUCUUUUAUUUUAUUUUUUGA
Molecule: long non-coding RNA, 751 nt
Organism: Rhineura floridana
Lineage: Eukaryota; Metazoa; Chordata; Lepidosauria; Squamata; Rhineuridae
Exons: 3
Source: RefSeq, a predicted model, not a curated record